This 251-nucleotide ribosomal RNA is filed under the name uncultured bacterium. RNAcentral describes it as "partial 16S ribosomal RNA". It matches the Rfam family "Bacterial small subunit ribosomal RNA", at positions 524 to 776 of the family's 1533-position model. The record is from RNAcentral.
GACGUAGGGUGCGAGCGUUGUCCGGAUUUAUUGGGCGUAAAGAGCUCGUAGGCGGCUCGUCGCGUCGACCGUGAAACCCGCACGCUUACUGCGGCCGUGCGGUUGAUACGGGCGGGCUAGAGUUCGGUAGGGGAGACUGGAAUCCUGGUGUAGCGGUGAAAUGCGCAGAUAUCAGGAGGAACACCGGUGGCGAAGGCGGGUCUCUGGGCCGAUACUGACGCUGAGGAGCGAAAGCGUGGGGAGCGAACAGG